UGUUCAUAUAUAUGUUAUUUUUAAUUCAGAAGUAAAACAAAUAUUGGAAGAGGCCACAGUUAUUAUAAAAAUAAUUUGACCAGUAUUGGACAAUGCAAAUAGCAAUCAUUUAGAAGUUUCUGUACAACAGAUGCCAUAUGUGUUACAUUUUAUUUGAUCAUCAAAAUUGUCAUAGAUAUUAUUAUCCCCAUUUCAUAGAAGAAACUGAGAUUAUAUAAUUUGUUCAACUUGACCAACUUCUUAUAACUAAUACAUAGUAGAGAUAAGGUUGAAACCUCAUUAACCAACUUCUUAUAACUAAUACAUAGUAGAGAUAAGGUUGAAACCUCAUUAGGUUUGACUCCAGACCCCAGCCUCUUUUGAGUGCAUCAUAAAAGGCUUUGGUCUGCCCGUGGCCAGUAACAACUUUUACUAAAUUGAUUCUUUGCUUUUUAUCUGUAAAAGGAAGUUAUUCACCUAUUUUGAUGAUCCCCAAUGUUUUUAACAUCAAUAAAUGUGUCCACCACACAUGAUAGUUUUUAAUGUUUUGUUUCCAUGAUUACAGGAUUAAAAAACUAUUAAUUAGUGAUACUUUUAAUUUUGAUUUUAUUAAUUAAAACACAUCUGUCUACAUCUGAAGAAUAGCACUUGUGACAACAGCAUAGACGGCUUCAUUUUGAGGAGUAAAUUACAAUUGAACAUGACCAAAUAUACAUAGAGAAGGCGUGGACCACACAAAUGUGAUUGAAAGCUGGCGUGGAGUCAUCUUAAAUUGACUUUUUCCCAAAGGGCCCCUAAAAGAGGGUAGAAUCCCAACAGAUAGAGUCUAUGGAGAGAUAGACUGCUGAGACCCAUAUUAUGGUCAGUGAAGUGCAGGCAAGGAAGGGAUCCUUAGCAAAAUGGGGAGAGGAAUGGAUGGUCUGAAAAACCCUGAAGGAACUGAAACACUCUGCAAAGGAAAGAAGAACAAGUAUCAGCUUUGACCCCUGCCAGACCUAGGCAGCAACAACGGCAGCUCACAAAGCACCAGAACAAACGCGCUUUCUUGUGCCCCUACAUGUCUUCCCUUCACCGUCUUGAACCCUGGUGUCAUCAUAAACUGUGUAAGUUAACAACUGAGGAGGGGAAGAAUGAUAAAUUGGGAAAAUAGAAAAGUGUCUGGGCCCUACUUUCAUACCGUAGGCCAGCCUUCUGUAGCAUGGCAGAUUAGGCAAGUGCAGAAGCCUUAAUUUUGAAUGAAAGUUGGAGUUUUUGUUCUGCUCUGGCUGUACCUAUCAGUUUCAAAACUGGAAUAGUUUAAAUGACUAAAGUACUAGGAAGAUUUUAUUACUUAAUAUAACUAUGGAGAACUGACCAAGAUUUUAUCUAGGGGGAGGAGUAUCACCCUACAGAGCAGACUUUAAGGGACAUUAUGAGAGAAAACAGUUACUUAGUGAUUUAAUGUUGCCAAUUCUGUUCUUUAGAAUACCAUCAUGUAUUUAUAUCCCUAUAUAUCACAUAACUAAAAUAUACAUUUAUCUGUACGCGUGUGUAUCAUAUGGAGCACAUUUUCUUUUGCAGGGUUUCUUUGUUUUAAAUGUCUAUUUGGUUAUUUUCUUGAUUGAAUUUCUGUGUAUGCUUUUUUCCUCAAUGCUUUAGCUGUAAGCGAAUAAGUGACAGAGCUCCUUGCUGCUCAAAUUUUAUGCCAGAUAAAAUAUUCACCUUCUCGGACUCCCUGGCACCAGGCAUGGCCAUGUAAUCCUACAGCACAGCUGAUGAAAGAGAAGACAUCUUGCUGCUAUUUGACAAGCAAGAAGAUAAAAGCUUUCCUAUAAAGAUGAUGGAGCAAAAAAAUAGAAGGGGCCUAGACUCCCUACCUUCACACUUCCUGCUAUAAAAGCAUUGCUAUUAUAAGGUUAAUCUGCAGAAACAGACUUCUAUGUCAUAUGCUUAAAUGCAUCAAAAUUCAUACAAUAUCCAUUAAAUUGGUAAAAGUAUCCAUUUUAAAGGAUUAAUCUGAGGGACCCACAGACACUUAACACAAUCAAAUCUCAGAAAAAAAAUCAGUUAUUUCAUUGUGAUUUUGAGGCUGAUCUUUUAU
RNAcentral lists this long non-coding RNA (2059 nucleotides) under Homo sapiens (human). Its description in RNAcentral is "HSALNT0341739". The record is from RNAcentral. Lineage: Eukaryota; Metazoa; Chordata; Mammalia; Primates; Hominidae.